UGUAUCCGUAGUUGAACACAACGCUGAUUUUUCGAGUCGGAGGUCCUGGUUAGAAUCCAGGUGGGUAUAA
This 70-nucleotide transfer RNA is filed under the name Podocnemis expansa. RNAcentral describes it as "tRNA-Glu". It matches the Rfam family "tRNA". Rfam says of the family: Transfer RNA (tRNA) molecules are approximately 80 nucleotides in length. Their secondary structure includes four short double-helical elements and three loops (D, anti-codon, and T loops). Further hydrogen bonds mediate the characteristic L-shaped molecular structure. tRNAs have two regions of fundamental functional importance: the anti-codon, which is responsible for specific mRNA codon recognition, and the 3' end, to which the tRNAs corresponding amino acid is attached (by aminoacyl-tRNA synthetases). tRNAs cope with the degeneracy of the genetic code in two manners: having more than one tRNA (with a specific anti-codon) for a particular amino acid; and 'wobble' base-pairing, i.e. permitting non-standard base-pairing at the 3rd anti-codon position. Lineage: Eukaryota; Metazoa; Chordata; Testudines; Podocnemididae. The record is from RNAcentral.